Lemur catta (Ring-tailed lemur) is the source of this 107-nucleotide small nuclear RNA. Lineage: Eukaryota; Metazoa; Chordata; Mammalia; Primates; Lemuridae. The record is from RefSeq and is a predicted model, not a curated record.
AUGCUCGCUUCGGUAGCACAUGUACUAAAACUGGGACGAUACAGAGACAAUGAGCAUGGCCCCUGUGCAACGAUGACAUGCAAAUUCCUGAAGCAUUCCAUGUUUUU